RNAcentral lists this ribosomal RNA (482 nucleotides) under uncultured bacterium. RNAcentral describes it as "partial 16S ribosomal RNA". It matches the Rfam family "Bacterial small subunit ribosomal RNA", at positions 30 to 507 of the family's 1533-position model. The record is from RNAcentral.
AUUGAACGCUGGCGGCAUGCCUUACACAUGCAAGUCGAACGGUAACGGGCCUUCGGGUGCCGCCGAGUGGCGCACGGGUGAGUAAUACAUCGGAACGUGCCCGAUCGUGGGGGAUAACGAGGCGAAAGCUUUGCUAAUUCCGCAUACGAUCUACGGAUGAAAGCAGGGGACCGCAAGGCCUUGCGCGGACGGAGCGGCCGAUGGCCGAUUAGGUAGUUGGUGGGAUAAAAGCUUACCAAGCCGACGAUCUGUAGCUGGUCUGAGAGGAUGAUCAGCCACACUGGGACUGAGACACGGCCCAGACUCCUACGGGAGGCAGCAGUGGGGAAUUUUGGACAAAGGGCGCAAGCCUGAUCCAGCCAUGCCGCGUGCAGGAUGAAGGCCUUCGGGUUGUAAACUGCUUUUGUACGGAACGAAAAGCCUUCUUUUAAUACAGGAGGGUCAUGACGGUACCGUAAGAAUAAGCACCGGCUAACUACGUG